UACGGAAGGCAGCAGUGGGGAAUAUUGCACAAUGGGCGCAAGCCUGAUGCAGCCAUGCCGCGUGUAUGAAAGAAGGCCGUUCGGGUUAGUAAAGUACUUUCAGUCGUGAGGAAGGUGUUAAGGUUAAUAACCUUAGCAAUUGACGUUAGCGACAGAAGAAGCACCGGCUAACUCCGUGCCAGCAGCCGCGGUAAUACGGAGGGUGCGAGCGUUAAUCGGAAUUACUGGGCGUAAAGGGCACGCAGGCGGUUAAUUAAGUUGGAUGUGAAAUCCCCGGGCUUAACCUGGGAAUGGCAUUCAAGACUGGUUAGCUAGAGUCUUGUAGAGGGGGUAGAAUUCCAUGUGUAGCGGUGAAAUGCGUAGAGAUGUGGAGGAAUACCGGUGGCGAAGGCGGCCCCUGGACAAAGGACUGACGCUCAUGUGCGAAAGCGUGGGGAGCAAACGAGGGAUUAGAUACC
Molecule: ribosomal RNA, 458 nt
Filed under: uncultured bacterium
Lineage: Bacteria
Description: bacterial SSU rRNA
Rfam family: Bacterial small subunit ribosomal RNA
Source: RNAcentral